AUGUCUCAUCUUUUAAUGCUUCUGUCGUUUUGCUUCAUCCAUCAUAGCGGAGCCUCCACAGUGAGUGAAAAACAGAGAGGAAUCGCCACACUGCCAUGUAAAUAUGAGGCCAAAGACAUUUCAGAUAUACGCUUUAUACGACAAGGAAAACCUGUACACUUUUCUGUUUGUGAAGAAUAUAAAAGAGGAAGUGGCCGAAUCUGUCAAAAAGGAGCAUGUGACAUCAUCAUCCAGAAUCUGAGCUUCAGUGACGCUGGGAAAUACAUUUUUAGAUUCAAUUACAAAAGUGCUCCGAUGGAUCAGACGUACCAACUUCAUGUUCAUGGUAAAGUCAAAACUGAUCAAAGCAUCAGAAUGCAUGUGCUUUCUGGACGUCCUUCAGUUCUUCUGUGGUAAUGCAUGCUGGACUCUAACCAUCAGAAUCAGUGAAUGGGACACGUCCUGAAUAAUAUCAGGGUUAGAGGUCACCGGUAAGCUUUUCAGUGGCUGAUGAUUACAUCUGGUUCCAUAAAUCUUAAUAUGUGCUUAUGGCCUGUAUGACAGUAUUAUGAGACAAUAUUAAUAAUAUUCUGUCUAAUAAUUUGUGUUUGUCCUCAGAUGAGAUGUGUGUGAAGAUCGGUGAGCAGCUGAAGUUAGAUGUUCUGUCGUCAGAAGCUGAUGAAGUGCAGCAUCAGAGCAGAAGAAGCACCGAGUGGAAAGAUGUUUGGACGAGAGGCCAUGGUGUUCAGAAUCAGCUCCUGAAUGAUAGAGAUGGAAACCUGAUCAUCAAUAACUUUACAGCCAGUGAUUCAGGAAAAUACAGAGUUCUGGGGUCUGAAGGAGAACGCUUGAUCACAGUGACUGUUAGAGGUGAGAGAAGCUCAGGACAUCUGGAAAUAUUAUUCAUUCACCAUGAGCUCUGUUUAUUCACUGAGCUUUGAAUAUCUUGUACAGAAUCUAAAGGAUCUUGCUCAGGUGAAAAACUCAGUAGUGAUGCUGCACAACACAGUAAGUAAAACCAGAGGCGAUUAACAGUGUAUUUAAGCAGUGAGCUUGAAACUAUAAUGUUUGUCUCCCCUUCUGCUGUAGGGCACUGGAUUGGACCGGCUGGGUUUGUUUGGGUGGUUCUUUGCCUUUUUUAAAAGAAGAACGAUACACUGGUGUCUAGAGGGAGGUCUGAGUAGGUCCUACAUGUGCUACAUCUGCCAUAUUGUAACGUGACCCGUCCUAAAAGUAGUAGAACGUCCAGGUAAUUUCUGACAGCUGUUUUAUAAGUAUUACAAGAUUUUAUUGCCAUCUGAAUCCAGAAUGUCAGUGUGUUUCUCCCACCACCCGUAUAGUUCCCCGACCGAAUUACCUACUGUUUUUUUAACAAACAAAAAGGUCAUGUGGUAAUUUCACUGCAUUUUUUUUGGCAGCAGUAAACAUCUACACUUUUAUUACUGAAAGAUAUAUAACAUAUUAUUGCACCAAAGGGCAUGUUAUGCAAUUUUUGAUGUUUGUAUGUAUGCAUGUAUUUAUUUAUUUAUUUAUUUAUUUAUUUAUUUAUUCAUUCAUUUUCAUGGACAUGUUAUAUAAUCUCUUUGACCCUAAUGUAAAUGACCCCUUUGACCCUCAAAUGGAACAUCAGUGUCUUUAAUGUCAGUGUAAGUCCCUCGAUUGUCCACCAGAGGUCUCACUCACCAGAGGAUUGACUAUUGGACUACAGUUCCCAGCAAGCCUCACACCUGGACUAAUUUCUGCUCACCUGAUACUUGCACACAGAUUAUUUAAAAACCGUGUUUUUGUUCUUCUUGAAGUCUUUUUUAUUGUGUAUCGACACAGCUCUAGCUGCCUGCCCUGGUCUGUUGUUUGCUGUGUUUGUUAGGCUUUACUGCCUAAACCACAUGGAUUCAGCCAGAGUCUGUGUUACAAUCAGACUGAAACGAUUAGGGAUCUUGUCUAAAAUAAGACAACUCAUAUGUGGAAUCUAUCAGCUAGGAGCUGCACAAUGUUUGACAUAUUUUACAUUGUUAUUGUCAGUUACGUAGACAAACUGAUUAAUACUAUUGUUUUUAUAGUGUUUAGAAUUAUCCCUUAUUACGAAAAUAAAUAAAUAAUUGUACAAUCUUUACUGUGUGCGCCAAACUUGUCAUUUCCUAAAAAUCACACUGUAUAAAUCUAAACAGUUUUCUCAUAUUACAAAAUAAAUGAGAGCAUGUGAAUUUUUAAAAACUGUUUUUAACUUAUUUUUGCACUAACUGCAAAUUAUAUGAAUAGUAUUUUUAGUAUUUUUUAUUUUUUU
RNAcentral lists this long non-coding RNA (2263 nucleotides) under Carassius auratus (goldfish). RNAcentral describes it as "lncRNA (ENSCARG00000032511.1)". The record is from RNAcentral. Lineage: Eukaryota; Metazoa; Chordata; Actinopteri; Cypriniformes; Cyprinidae.